Molecule: ribosomal RNA, 398 nt
Filed under: uncultured bacterium
Lineage: Bacteria
Description: bacterial SSU rRNA
Rfam family: Bacterial small subunit ribosomal RNA
Source: RNAcentral
GACGAACGCUGGCGGCGUGCUUAACACAUGCAAGUCGAGCGGUAAGGCCCUUUCGGGGUACACGAGCGGCGAACGGGUGAGUAACACGUGGGUGACCUGCCCUCAGCUCUGGGAUAAGCCUGGGAAACCGGGUCUAAUACUGGAUAUGACUCCAUGACGCAUGUUGUGGGGUGGAAAGCCUUGUGCGGCUGAGGAUGGGCCCGCGGCCUGUCAGCUUGUUGGUGGGGUGAUGGCCUACCAAGGCGACGACGGGUAGCCGGCCUGAGAGGGCGACCGGCCACACUGGGACUGAGACACGGCCCAGACUCCUACGGGAGGCAGCAGUGGGGUAANCUUGCGCAAUGGGCGAAAGCCCUGACGCAGCGACGCCGCGUGAGGGAUGACGGCCUCGGUGUAAC